This is a long non-coding RNA of Oncorhynchus nerka (sockeye salmon), 1404 nucleotides long. RefSeq lists it as uncharacterized. The transcript is spliced from 3 exons. The record is from RefSeq and is a predicted model, not a curated record. NCBI's taxonomy places the organism in Eukaryota, Metazoa, Chordata, Actinopteri, Salmoniformes, Salmonidae.
AAUAAAAAAUCAAGCAAAAAGACUCUCUAGAUCAGCUCAUACUCAAUCUGAUGCAUUAUGUCCGUUUUAGACAGCUCCUUGUGUAUGGAUAGGACUUUUCAACGUAAAUGCAGAAAGGGAUUUCAAUCAUGUAUAAUUAUGUUCACACAGUAGAACUGAGGGUAAGAGCGCCCUGAGCCUAGCCGAAUAAUGUGCACUGAAACUCGAAUGAAGACUUCAGAUCGACGCCCACCAAACUCUCUCCCCUCAGAAUUGUGCUCGAAUCAAGCCCUCUGUGAUGGAUGAGAGAGAGGAUUUUCCAGUGAUGGCAACAGUUCCUAUGACGACCAGACCUCCACCGGGGGAUUGCGUCUGUCAGACAGUGCUAAUGAUAAUUGAGAGGCUGGAGUGGGCAGGCGUGUGGGUUUGGCCACAGGAAGCUGUGAAUUCCUUGAAGAACAGAGGGUGUCAGGGCCCAGAACGCAGAACGGGGGGGGGGGGGGGCUUACUGUACCUUGUAACGUCUCAUUAUCCUCCUAGUUGACCCCUGACCCCGGCCUGUGUUUGUAUCAGGUCAUCAACGUGAGGAAUUGUAAUGAGUCACUCCAGCAGUGUGUUUACCUUCUGGAGUCACGCAAGGAAGGAAAUAAGGCACAGUCUUCUAAAAGUGUCAAAGUGAGAGAGAAUAGCAGCAGUAUUAGAGCAGAGCCCUGAUUCAUCUCACUGUUACUGACCUCUUGUACCGUUACACUGGGUUUAUUUAACCUAUUCACUACUGUAGGGAGACUAGCUACAGAUCAGCUGUAUGAAAACAUAAGGUAUGAGAUUAAUAGUGUAAUUCUGUAAUUGAAGUCUGAUUCGUACCCCAACUCAUUGAGUGAAAUGAUCCGUGUACUGCACUAUGUGGAUACAACUUAUUUUUGCUAUCACUGUGUAAUAUGUUGCUAAUAGACCAAACAUGUAUUUUUGUCCUAAUUCUCUGUUGUGUGUUGCAGUCAUUUGAGUUUUUUUGCUAUGCCCAAUGAAAUUUGGAGAGAUGUAGUAUUUUCCUUUGUCUCAUGCAACAAUCAUAAAUUAUGUGUAUGUGAUUUUUCUGUUUAAUAAUAAUUUAUUGCAAUAUAUUUCCGACUCCAAUAUAUAGAUUAUGUCUGGAAGAUCCCUUGUAAUACACUUUGAAGGAGAAAUCUUCACUUCCAAAUACAUCGUUUUUUAAAAUCUUGAACUUACAUUGAGCUCUUGAAGCUGUUGAAACUGGAAUGAGUAUGGAACUGUGGCCAACGCCUGUGAUUAAAAUACAAUGUCCUGGCCUACCAUUACGCUGUAGCCUUCCACACCGUGGGCUUGUGUGAUUGCACAAUUGUUGUUUUUGAGCAAGUGCCCCUGUUAGUUUUACUCUGUAAAUAAAUAUGUGCUCCGAGCUGACAA